Molecule: long non-coding RNA, 237 nt
Filed under: Penaeus japonicus
Lineage: Eukaryota; Metazoa; Arthropoda; Malacostraca; Decapoda; Penaeidae
Description: uncharacterized LOC122268161
Source: RNAcentral
GAUGUCGCUUAGUGAAGCUCUAACCGCGGCCACUCUACACGCCGCCCACUCCCUGCGAAAAGCCCACGCCCACGGGUCCAUAGAACCGGGAAAAUACGCCGAUCUGGUCAUCGUCGAUGCUCCUAGAUGGGAACAUCUUGUGUACCAGCUGGGAGGCGCUGACCACGUCAUCUCCCAUGUUGUCAAGGCUGGAGUUGUCGUCCACGAGAGAAAAUGAAAUAAAGAAUAUUUCCCUUU